AACUGAAGAGUUUGAUCCUGGCUCAGAUUGAACGCUGGUGGCAUGCUUAACACAUGCAAGUCGAACGGUAACAGGUCUUAGGAUGCUGACGAGUGGCGGACGGGUGAGUAACGCGUAGGAAUCUGCCCAUUUGAGGGGGAUACCAGUUGGAAACGACUGUUAAUACCGCAUAAU
Molecule: ribosomal RNA, 174 nt
Filed under: Francisella tularensis subsp. tularensis 1378
Lineage: Bacteria; Pseudomonadati; Pseudomonadota; Gammaproteobacteria; Thiotrichales; Francisellaceae
Description: partial 16S ribosomal RNA
Rfam family: Bacterial small subunit ribosomal RNA
Source: RNAcentral